GCUACGUUUUCAGCGUGUUUUCUUGGGAGAUCAAAGCUUAAAUCCCGUUAACCCUUCAGAUGUCAGCCUGGUGCUUCACAACAGACACCAUAAAUCCGAGGGAAAUGAGAAAGAAUAAGAAGAAUAAAAGAAAAAGAAUAUUUGGCAAGAUUUUAUUAUUUUAGCAGCUGGCUGAUGAUUGGAUUGGAUGAUUUGGAAGGUCUUUUCCAACCUGAAUGAUCCCAUGAAGUUUGCUGGAUGCUACGUGAGGUUAAAGGAGAAUCUCAGGAGCAGAAGGGACACCUUCCACUGGAAAGGAUGAGGUGGGAACAGAUUGAAGAGUCCCUUGGACAAAAAGGUGGCUCGGAGAAAAUGUGACCUGGAUCCAGAUCGCCGCUGAGUUGGUUGUGCUGAGCCCCAAACCUCCUCAGACAGCCAAAGAUGGAGGAGAAAAGUCAAAUUAAACCUUCCACAGGUUCUGCCCCAGUUGUCCUGGCACAGGAAACGUCUCUUGGUUUAUCCUGCAACCAAAGCAUUUGUGAUGUGGAAAUGAUUUCAUUCCUCACUGCACCUCUUGGAAGGCUGGGUCCUCACUCCAACAAGAUUCUGCACUGUGUUGGUACAUAACUCUGAACUUCACACAGAGUGUUGGCCAGUUCUCCUCACAGCUCAGUCACACAGAACAAUCCUUCUCCAGCCCCAGAACCAAGGACACCGCUGCAGCUUCGGGCCCAAAAAGUGCAAACAGCAGAGAAGUGAGCAGAGCGAUCUGGAAGUUCAUAACCGGUGACACAGGAUUGAGGGGUGGAGCCGUGCUCAGCGUGACCUCUCUGCCCUGCAGGAACCCCCAGCCACGCUGCCGCUGCAGAGAGGGCAGGAUCUGUGCCCAGUUUGUGCUUUCUGGACAGAGGAACUCGCUGUGAUCUCAGGAAAAAGAUUUCCCUACCAGCUGCGUAAUGAGAGGUUUGAUUGCCUUGCCUUGAAGAGAGAGACAGAGCUCCCCUGAGCUCAGGGGGGGAAUAAUCCAUGUGGAUUGCCAUCACCAGAGCUGCUCAGGUGGAAAUGGUCAGGUGAGGGGCAAUGCCCUGCCUGCAGAGCAGCACUGGAGUCAUCCCUGUCCUCCACAAGCCCAGUUCAGCUUCCUCCUGACUCCUCAGCGGGAUUUAAAUAGAACAGCCACCGUCCCAGCGUGUAUUAACAGGUCUGGGAGUUCACCUGGAUGUCUUCAGAGAGCUGUCACGUUCCCAACUGGAAACAGGGAAAAGAGCCAGGGUGGCCAAGAAUUUCCUGGACAACUUCCUAAGCAAUGCUGACAGCCAAGGAUCAGCUCCUCUGUCACCACCACCUCUCCGAUGUCACCCCUUAGGGUGAGCUCCCAGCUGACCAGGAGUGGCUGCUCUGUAAAAUCUCUUUAUUUGGAUGACUCCAAAACACGAGGAAAAAGAAACAAAACUGGUCGGAAUUCUGCCUGGAAUCACUUACGGGAAUCCAACAAAACACAAGGAAAACUCAUCAGGGAGGUUGCCCAGCUUUUCCUGGGAUGGGGAAUUAAGGACCAGCGAACACAUCCAGUGGGGGACAGGUAACAAAAAAGGUUUGAGUUGGAAAGGACCUUAAAGAACGUUCUGUCCCACCCCUGCCAUGGGCAGGGACACCUUCCACUACCCCAGGCUGCUCCAAACCCCAUCCAGGCUGCCCUUGGACAUUCCCAAGGAUGGAGCAGCUCCCCUGGGGAGGGUUGGAGUGAGGGCAGGUGAACGGGAAUUUCUGCCUCCUUAAACUUUGGCCCUUGUGCUGCCUCACCCCUCACUUCACACCUCGUGGCUUGAUGGAUCCCACCCGGGCUCUGCACCGGCUCGUCUGCAGGCACUAAAGUGCAGGGUGGAGAGCUGCAUUGCAAGGCAGGCAUUUCCCUGAUUUCCCCGAGUGGGAAAUCGAUGGGCAGCAGCAUUUGGAGAGCAAAUUGACAGCAGUAUUUACUCCUCGAUGGCGCGCGGCGCUGCCGGGGCGCCUUAAUUCGAUGUUCUCAGGCACUUUCAGGAUGUUAUGCUAAGCAAAGGCUGAGCUGUCAUUACAUUUUUAUGAAGUCAAUGCAGUUUCUAACAGCUCAGAAGAAAGAAUUUACAAGAAUUGAUCAAAUAUCUCGUUUUUUUCUAAGGGAAUCUGCUCCUCUGGAUUUCCCUGAGCUGUCAGCUCGCGUUGAUAUGAUCUGAUUGAUGCUGUUUGCCACAUUAAGGAACGUCGGUAGCUAAUCUGUUUUAAUCCCAUUCUCUGUUUUUCAUAUAAUACUCUUGAAGGUAGCUGAAGGUUAUUACUUAUUUUAAAUAGCUUAAAUAUUUGUGUCAAAACAUUGUCCUCAAAGGUUCAAAUCCUGCCUU
Long non-coding RNA from Hirundo rustica (Barn swallow), 2357 nucleotides. RefSeq lists it as uncharacterized. Lineage: Eukaryota; Metazoa; Chordata; Aves; Passeriformes; Hirundinidae. The record is from RefSeq and is a predicted model, not a curated record. The transcript has 8 exons.